RNAcentral lists this ribosomal RNA (253 nucleotides) under uncultured bacterium. Its description in RNAcentral is "partial 16S ribosomal RNA". It matches the Rfam family "Bacterial small subunit ribosomal RNA", at positions 524 to 776 of the family's 1533-position model. The record is from RNAcentral.
UACGUAGGGGGCUAGCGUUGUCCGGAAUCAUUGGGCGUAAAGCGCGUGUAGGCGGUCCGGUAAGUCCGCUGUGAAAGUCGGGGGCUCAACCCUCGGAUGCCGGUGGAUACUGUCGGGCUUGAGUACGGAAGAGGCGAGUGGAAUUCCUGGUGUAGCGGUGAAAUGCGCAGAUAUCAGGAGGAACACCAAGUGCGAAGGCAGCUCGCUGGGACGUUACUGACGCUGAGACGCGAAAGCGUGGGGAGCGAACAGG